This 279-nucleotide ribosomal RNA is filed under the name uncultured bacterium. RNAcentral describes it as "partial 16S ribosomal RNA". It matches the Rfam family "Bacterial small subunit ribosomal RNA", at positions 506 to 784 of the family's 1533-position model. The record is from RNAcentral.
UGCCAGCCGCCGCGGUAAUACGGAGGGUGCAAACGUUAAUCGGAAUUACUGGGCGUAAAGCGCGCGUAGGUGGUUUGUUAAGUGGGAUGUGAAAGCCCCGGGCUUAACCUGGGAACUGCAUUCCAAACUGGCAGACUAGAGUAUGGUAGAGGGAGGUAGAAUUUCCUGUGUAGCGGUGAAAUGCGUAGAUAUAGGAAGGAAUACCGAUGGCGAAGGCAGCCUCCUGGACCAAUACUGACACUGAGGUGCGAAAGCGUAGGGAGCAAACAGGAUUAGAUA